Molecule: long non-coding RNA, 889 nt
Organism: Olea europaea var. sylvestris
Lineage: Eukaryota; Viridiplantae; Streptophyta; Magnoliopsida; Lamiales; Oleaceae
Exons: 2
Source: RefSeq, a predicted model, not a curated record
UUCAGUUGAAUGAAAUGGAUGAGUUUCGAUUGGAAGCCUAUGAGAAUGCAAAACUCUACAAGGAGCGCACAAAAAAAUGGCAUGACAUGCACAUUCAAAGAAGGAAGUUUGAAGUUGGGCAACAAGUUUUGCUGUACAAUUCUAGACUCAAACUUUUUCCUUGUAAAUUGAGGUCUAGGUGGUCAGGGCCAUACACCAUAGUCAAGGUGUUUCCUUAUGGAACAGUUGAAAUAAUGCAUGAAAGUAAAGGGACCUUUAAGGUUAAUGGACAACGGUUGAAGCCAUAUUGGAACGGUGAAUUUUCGAAAGAAAAAUCAACCGUUCAACUUGCAACACCAGAAUGAAUGAACAAAAAGUCGAGCUCUAGACUAUAAAUCGAGCGCUUAAUGGGAGGCAACCCAUUCUUCUAUCUCCUUUUGCUAUUUUAAUUAACUAUUGCAUUACAUGUAGUUUUAGGGACUGCAUUAAUUUAGGAACUCAUGCAUUUAAAUGGGUAGUGUUGGACACAUUUUAAGUGAUACUUUCAGACCUGGACCAGUAACUUAGGCAUAUUUAUUUAUUAAGUUCAUUUUAUUUUGACAUGGUUAUCUAGGUUCAUCGUUAACAUCUUAGCAUUCUAUUGAGCUUACAUUGAUGUGAUAUGCAUCUUUAAGAGAAUUAAAGCCUCACAACAAAGAAAAGCUACAGCUGUCAUGAUACCUACCAAUUGGAGCAGCCUGAUUAUUCAUCGCAUCCACAUUUACCCCGGGGAGUUUUUGAUCCUUACCCCUUACUUUGUUUAGUUUUGCUUAUACAUUGGGGACAAUGUAGUAUUUUAGUUUGGGGAUGGGUGAGUAUUAGGAUACCUAGAAUACAUAUUUUUCAACUGCUAAUCGAGUCCGUAUAACUG